GUGCCAGCAGCCGCGGUAAUACGUAGGUGGCAAGCGUUGUCCGGAUUUAUUGGGUUUAAAGGGUGCGUAGGCGGCUUAUUAAGUCAGUGCUGAAAUAUCUCGGCUUAACCGAGAGGGUGGCAUUGAUACUGAUGAGCUUGAGUACAGAUGAGGUAGGCGGAAUUGACGGUGUAGCGGUGAAAUGCAUAGAUAUCGUCAAGAACACCUAUAGCGAAGGCAGCUUACUAAGUUGUAACUGACGCUGAGGCACGAAAGUGUGGGGAUCAAACAGGAUUAGAAACCCUGGUAGUCC
RNAcentral lists this ribosomal RNA (292 nucleotides) under uncultured bacterium. RNAcentral describes it as "partial 16S ribosomal RNA". It matches the Rfam family "Bacterial small subunit ribosomal RNA", at positions 505 to 796 of the family's 1533-position model. The record is from RNAcentral.